Molecule: non-coding RNA, 557 nt
Organism: Onthophagus taurus
Lineage: Eukaryota; Metazoa; Arthropoda; Insecta; Coleoptera; Scarabaeidae
Source: RefSeq, a predicted model, not a curated record
AUAACAAAUGGCUGAUGUCUUAAAUUGUCAUCAAACUCGUUAAAAAAAAAAAUAGAAUUAAAUAAAAGUACGUUAUUCAAGAAAAAACUAAUAAAUCUUUACCCACAAGUUAUGUUAAAUAAUAAAAUAAAAUUAUCAUUCGACUCACUGCGAAAAAGAAAGGAUUGGAGUUCAAUGUGGUAUCUGGAUUGUGUUCGGGGCACUAACUAAUUUUCUGGAUUCUUCUUACAGGAAAUUGAACUGCUUGUUCUUCGGAAAUAGGAUGAUUCUCUUUUUAUUUUAAUAUCACAUACAUUGGAGUACACGCCAAAUUUCAACAAUGAGUAAAGUUAGAAAAAUUCAAAUUUAAAUCAAGGAUUUCUUCCUCAAAAUAACGUUAAAACCUCAAAAGAUGGAUGAAAAAUGUGCUUUAGGAGCUGAACUAUAAUAAUUGAUACAUUUGGAAGUAAACAAAACGGUUUAAGAUAAGAUUUUCACCAACAAAAAAUUUCUCUGUCACAAAUUCUAGGUUAUGUUCUCUCAGUGAACUAAGAGAAUAUUAAAAUUAUUACAAUACA